Balaenoptera acutorostrata (minke whale) is the source of this 16013-nucleotide RNA transcript. It is a transcript of the gene named potassium inwardly rectifying channel subfamily J member 12, with no coding region annotated. The record is from RefSeq and is a predicted model, not a curated record. The transcript is spliced from 4 exons. NCBI's taxonomy places the organism in Eukaryota, Metazoa, Chordata, Mammalia, Artiodactyla, Balaenopteridae.
GACGGAGGGACGGACGCCAGCCGCGCCGACCGGAGCGUGCGCCCCGCGACCGGGGGCGCCGUCCAGGCGCGCGCCCCCGACCCGCGACCGGACCGGGGCGAUUGGCGCCCCGCACCGACGCGCCCCUCAGCAUGGAGCGCCCCCGGGGGCUGCCCUGAGGCGGCGGCGGCGAUGCAGGCAGCGCGGCGGCUGCCGGGGCCAGGAACGGCCGCCCGGAGCUCGGAGGACGCGGAGCGCGCCGCGCCCGGGGCACUGACCGAGGGUCUUCCAGCCGCUGAGUCCUCUCCAGCUGGUGCCUGGGACAUGGCAGCCGCUGCUCGUGCAGCCUUGAAGACAGUCACUUGCCUGGUGAGCACCGUCACUUAGGAGACAGGAUUCCAGAGGAGCUGUCCCGCCUGGAGCCGGCCCGGGGGCGAGCUGGGGUCCCACCGCCCCCGCCCCCGGGAUGACCGCAUCUGGCCGUGCCAACCCCUACAGCAUCGUGUCGUCCGAGGAGGACGGGCUGCACCUGGUCACCAUGUCGGGCGCCAACGGCUUCGGCAAUGGCAAGGUGCACACUCGGCGCAGGUGCCGGAACCGCUUCGUCAAGAAGAACGGCCAGUGCAACAUCGAGUUCGCCAACAUGGACGAGAAGUCGCAGCGCUACCUGGCCGACAUGUUCACCACCUGCGUGGACAUCCGCUGGCGCUACAUGCUGCUCAUCUUCUCGCUGGCCUUCCUUGCCUCCUGGCUGCUGUUCGGCGUCAUCUUCUGGGUCAUCGCCGUGGCCCACGGGGACCUGGAGCCGGCCGAGGGCCGCGGCCGCACGCCCUGCGUGCUGCAGGUGCACGGCUUCAUGGCGGCCUUCCUCUUCUCCAUUGAGACGCAGACCACCAUUGGCUACGGGCUGCGCUGCGUGACUGAGGAGUGCCCGGUGGCCGUGUUCAUGGUGGUAGCACAGUCCAUCGUGGGCUGCAUCAUCGACUCCUUCAUGAUCGGCGCCAUCAUGGCCAAGAUGGCGCGGCCCAAGAAGCGCGCGCAGACGUUGCUGUUCAGCCACAACGCGGUAGUGGCGCUGCGGGACGGCAAGCUCUGCCUCAUGUGGCGCGUGGGCAACCUGCGCAAGAGCCACAUCGUGGAGGCCCACGUGCGGGCCCAGCUCAUCAAGCCCCGGGUCACGGAGGAGGGCGAGUACAUCCCGCUGGACCAGAUCGACAUCGACGUCGGCUUCGACAAGGGCCUGGACCGCAUCUUCCUGGUGUCGCCCAUCACCAUCCUGCACGAGAUCGACGAGGCCAGCCCGCUGUUUGGCAUCAGCCGGCAGGACCUGGAGACGGACGACUUUGAGAUUGUGGUCAUCCUGGAGGGCAUGGUGGAGGCUACGGCCAUGACCACACAGGCCCGCAGCUCCUACCUGGCCAACGAGAUCCUGUGGGGCCACCGCUUCGAGCCUGUCCUCUUCGAGGAGAAGAACCAGUACAAGAUCGACUACUCGCACUUCCACAAGACAUAUGAGGUGCCGUCCACGCCCCGCUGCAGCGCCAAGGACCUGGUGGAGAACAAGUUCCUGCUGCCCAGCGCCAACUCCUUCUGCUACGAGAACGAGCUGGCCUUCCUGAGCCGCGACGAGGAGGACGAGGCGGACGGAGAGCAGGACGGCCACGGCCCCCAGGCCAGGCGCGACUUUGACAGACCCCAGGCCGGCACCGCCCUCGAUCAGCGGCCCUACAGACGGGAGUCCGAGAUCUGAGCCGCCAGCGGCCAAGGUGCAGCAUCCGCCCCGCCGGGGAAAGGCCCCGAGUCCCGCGAGGGCCCCGGGCCAGAGCGGCAUGGGCUUGGGCCCUGAUUGCAGACUCAGUAGCGUUUUAGAUGUUUUACAUUUCUUCACAGCGGCCUGGGAAUGUUGGUGGGAGAGCGGGUGGCCUGAGUGGCCUCUGAGGCCAGAGCAGGCCUGGGGGCGGGGAGGUGGCCUCCGGGUGGGGGGGAGGUGGCCGGGCCACAGGAGCUGGGGGCUUCUGCCUCAGGGGAGAGCCACAGCCUCUCCAGAAACGGCUCACCAGCUGCCCGGCCUCUGUGGGCGAAGGCCGGCAGGCUGCAGUGCACCUCGCUGGUUUUUAACUUGGGGAGAAACACCGGGUUUUGGCUUUCUCAACCUUAGUUUAAGACUGUUUACAAAAAAAAAUUAACAUGUGAUUGAAAAAAAGUUUUAUAAUUUGAGGGGGGUGGGAAAGGACAAUUAGAAUUCCAUUAGUCUGCCAGGAUGCAAGUAGCUGGGUGGGGUUUCCAGAAGGUUCCCGAGGCUGGGCUGGCCUCUCUUCCAUGAAGGCCGGGCACGUGGCCUGAGGGCAAGCACGGAGGUCAACCCCGCCUCCCCACCCCGUUGUGCUCUGCGCUCACGGGGUGAACUGGAUUUCCUUUGUGAUGGCAAAACCAAGACCUUGUUAAUGAUCAUAACAAAAGCUUUUCAGUGUCACUGGGGUGGGAGUCAGGGCCGGGAAGAAUCCAGUCUGAGCUUUUUAAGUUUGACUCUGUACCUCCUUUGAGGUGCAUCUCAGGGCCAGGAUGGGACCUGCCUGCGGUGGAAGGUCUGCUCCCCCCCCCCCACCCAGCCCCACCCACCCUCCACGACCCCAGCCCGCUGGAUUCUCCCUCCUUUUCUGCCCCGUGGCCUCCACCCCCUUCCCCAGAGAGGGCCAGCUGGGGAACGUAGGGGUGGAUGACUCCAUGGGAAGGGGGGCCAGCUUCCCCGACUCCAAGGAAGUGUUUCAGCCCGUCCCCGCGGGGCCCCAGCAUGAGUCGUGCCUUAGAGACCCUGGGGGUCUGGCUCCAGUUGUCACUGUUUUUAUUGGACUCACCCAUCCUCCCUGCUGCCCCCGGCUCCACCGUGGCCCUCUGUCUGCGGAGACCAGGCCGAGCCGGCACCCAUCCCCACAAGGUGGGCAGCAGAGGUGAGCCUGGGUGGGGCCCAGCCAGGCUGUGCCCUGGCGCCGAACGCACAGGAAUGUCCUAGGAGAGCCGUGGGCUGGUCAGCACCCACAUCUGGGCACCUCGGUCGGGGAGCGGCUCGGGCCGCCUGAUUUGUCACUGGCUCUUGCCUCUGCCAGCCCAAGAGCUGCCCAACGCAGGCUCGUUCCUGGCGAAGGAAACAGCUGUCAGGGCGGAGCCUGGGCCCCUCCCAGGACUGCUGAGAGCGCUGUCCUCGCAAAUGACCAAGCCGGUCAGUCAUUAGAGAGCCCCAGCCUGCCUAUCCAGGCUGCCGCGGGCCAGCUCACCACCCGGAGAUGCCAGGGCUCCGGCCCAAGUUAGGAGACAGAGGCCGAGUGCAGAUGGGCGAGGGGCAAGGAGGGGCCAGGGGCUGCAGUGGGGGCUUCUGCCUCUGCCCUCCUCCAGCCCCUGCAACAGCGGGAGGCCUGGCCCUGAAGUCAGGGGCCGUGCAGGGUCCGGGCACCGGCUGUGUAUUCCCACCCAGAGAGCCCCGCCCGGGCCUCAGACGCCACCCUAACUUCCGGUCAGGAAGAGUCAGAAGGGUCAGCCCGAGGCAGGCAGAGGCCUCGUUCCUCUCAGGAUCUGCUGGACAGGCCUCUGUCCCUUCCUGGCCUGAGCCGCUGCUUCCUCAGCCUUAGUCCUGGGCGGUGAUGUGGAGUCCCCGUGGUUGCCAGGUGGGUGGCAGGUGGCCCUGGUCGCUCGGGGCUGGCACAUGGUCCUGUUGGGCCAGCCCUCCACUCACCCCACCAGGGCAGAGCCCCGGGGGCCCUGGGUCCCCCGAGGCCCUAGCUGUCUCGGGUGGCCCGGGGCGCCUCCUCUCGGGCCUGUCCCCCUCCCAGGCCCACGCUGGACGGCUCAGGCCGCAGACCCUGCAGGAGGGCCUCCCGAGCUGCCUUUCAUCUCUCACCAAAGGCAGAUGCUGCGUUUUCAAACUCCGCUGCCCUCUUUUUGCCUCCUCUGGGUUUAUUUAUUUAUUUAUUUAUUUAUUUAUUUAUUUAUUGCUUGUGCUGAAGACCAAAAUAGCCUCCCUCUUCAGUGCCCUUGAAGCGGGAGGGCGGAUGGGGGGAGCCGUGUGUGCGGAGGCAGGCUCACGUGGUCCCUGGGGUGCGUGUGCCCGUGUGUGGGGCGUGGAACGUGCGAACCCGGUGAGUGUGCGCUGUGCCGUGUGUUGUGUGUGCGCCGAGCACGCGUGUGUGCUACGUGUGGCCUGUGUGCUGAGCGGGUGGGUGUACAAACCUGCUUCUGAGCCCGCCGCCCCCGGCAGUGGUAUUUCCGGGAGGUUCCUCGACAGCCUGGACCCCGUGGUGCAGAGGCUGGAGCUGGCUGAGGCGCCCUCCGCCCUGAGACGCUGAGCUGCUUACGUGGGGCGGGGCCUGGGGACAAAAUACGUGUGUGAGCACCGAGGCGUGAAUUCCCGUGUGGAAUCAUCUCAUCCGUGCGCCGGUAAAACGUGUGCAAUUAUGGCUUUUCCUGUAAGUGCCCGAGUGUACAUGGGAGUGCUGUGCAGAUGUGUGCCCGCGACGAGCUCCGUACACGUGAGAGCCUGGGCUGAUGGUGUCUAUACGUGAUGUAUACAUGUGUGUAAACGCACACAGGCUCACACAGUUAUGUGUGUACCUACCCAGAGGUCUGUUUGUGUGCUCGUUGUAUACGCAGGCGUUGGUUUAAAUGUUUACCAGGCUGUGGGGCUGGGCACGCAGUACUCAGGACGGACACCGGCCGUGGUCCCACCAGCCCUCUGCCCCGAUUCUGUCCACGUGGGCAGGCGUGGAGCAUGUGUGACAGGGUGAGGCUUCUGUGUACCCGGGCACAAGGUGACAGCUACACGUGUAUGAGGACUUGGCCUCCAAAGGUGAGCGUUUGCACGCAGUUGCAUGCAGGAGGCCCGUGUGCAUUUGUCCACGAACGCACGUCCGUGUGUGUGCUGGGCUCCGUCAGCAGGGCUGUGCCUGCCUGCUGGGGGGGCGUGUGUGCGUUCGCGGACCCGCCCGGGUCCCGGAGGUCGUGUGUCGAGACGGGCGAGUGUCUCAGAGCGCGGCGCCCCCUGCCCCCCCGGACCUGCUGGUGCUGUACCACCCUGGGGUCCUGGCGGGGGCGGGGGGCCUGGCGGGAAGGAGGCCCCUGCACAGGUCAAAUCGAUGUCAAAUCUAUUUUAAAUGGUGAAACUGGAGAAUUUUCAUGUUAUUUUCAAUACACAGCAGUAUCUAAAGACGUAGGCCACAAGACUAGACCGCAUUAAACCAUUUUGAUCUCUCGGAGUGCCACUGCGUGCAGACGUGUGUUUGAAAGGCCCCGCCUGGCGCGGCGGGUGCUGGUGCUCGUGCUGCCUUCACCCCCCCGCCGUGUCCUGGGCUGGGGGGGCUCCCCAGAGGCCGGCGGGGGAGGGGAGAGAGGACAGAACUGGCCUCCUCGAGGACCCCCGCGUGCUUUUCAGGCCGUCGCCCACGCCCUCACCUUCCCGCCCCCCGCCACCACUGUCCUCUCCACGCGGCCCGAGUGUGCCAGACCGCCCGCCUUGCCUGGACUCGCGCCCCUGCCUUGCCCUCCCCGGGCCCGUGCUCCCCUUUCCUUUCUUCUGCAAGGGUUUGAUGAGGGCAGGGCAGGCGCGGUCUGGGCCCCCAGCUCGAGGCAGCCCUGCUUCUCACCGGCGGACAGGAAGCCGGGUGGCGUGCGGGCGCUGGGGUGGCUGAGGCUGGGGCGAUGGGGCCGGAGGGCAGGCAGGUGCCGCCGUCGCGGAGAGCAGCGUGCACGUGCACAGCCCGUUCCGGGCAAAGGAGAGUGUCGUCGCCCCGAGGGCUCCGGUGGCUUCUGGAAGUAGCCCCCAGGGAGAGAGUCCUUCCCUUUGCCCAAACAUUCCCUGAGUGGAGACCUCCUCUGUGUCAGUGAAGGACCGGGGCCCUCAUGCCGUGGGGUCCAGAUGACGUUCCAGACCACAGGAUAAGAAGCCGGGUGAUGGGCGGGGCUGGGGUGGUUGCGAGGGCUUCCUGGCAGAUGUCCCGUGAGUCGGACCUGGAGAUGGUUGGCUUUAUGUGGGGCGGGGGCUUUCCUCCCCUGGCCCUGAAGCUUUCCCUGCGACCCCAGUGCCGGAGUCUAAGCCAGUUGUGGCCUCCCCCGCUCCCCUGAGAGCUAUUUCCACAGCACUGACAGGUCCGGCCUCUGGGCAGGAGGACCUGGCCCCAGCCGGAGCUCAGGAGUCCCUCGGGGCCCGUCCUGGCUGGGACCCCGGGUCAGACGCCAGGCCACGCGCUUGCUCAGUGAUCUGGAGUAGUGGCCUCCUUUCUCCUCCGGCCUCAGUCUCUCCAUCAGUGGAAAAGGGUGUUCCUAACAAUGGCCAGCUCCCAGACUUGUUGAAAAGAAUGGAGGAGAGAAGCCCUUGGUGCAGCGAGUGCUUUGGACCCGUGCCCUCCUGUUUGAACACAGGUCUUCGGGUAAGGGUGACGCAGCCAGGACCCCCUCUGUGUGUGGCCGUCACCACUAGCUGCCUCUGCUCUUUCCUGCCUCCCUGAGGAUGAGAGAAUCCGCCUGAAAACCGGUACACGUGGGGCGGGCGGGGAAUCAGGACCAGGGCCCGGGCUUCCUGUUCCGGAGGAUGUCGGUUCAGGGUCAGUGAGGGACUUGCCCAAGGGCAAUGGGAGGGUAGUUAUCUGAGCUGGGGUCAGAGCUAGGCCUCAAGCCCCCAGCCCCCGCUGCGGACUUCACGGACUUCACGUCUGCUCCUUUGACCCAGAUGCCUCCGCCCUCCCGGGCUGGAGGGAUAACCUGGCCAGAGGGUCUGCCCCGGUUUAUCCCCAGGUCCACCUUCUGCGACUUGGGAGGACGUCGGAAGUGGGCUUCUCUUCAGUGUCAAGGGGCCAAGGUCAGAGCGGUGGGGCCUCGAAGGACACCCCCAUCCCCCCACAGCCCACCCUCCACCCAGGACCAGAGGGGUCUCAAAACCAGAAUUAGGCCUUUUGACCCCGCUGCCUGAAACCCUCCCUGUCUUCCUUCCACACUGGAACUAGAGUCCCCGCUGUUUCUCCAGCCCUGGAAUCUGCCCAUCCUGCCCCCUCCCCUGCUCCAGGCACCCUGCCUCGCUUUAGCUCCUUGAGAGCACGUUUUGCCCCUACCCCAGGACCUUUGCAAGGGCUGGUCCCUCUGCCUGGAUCCCUCUUCCCCCAGACCCGCCUCCCACCCUUCCCGGCCCCCGUGCAGAGGCUCCCCAAGGGCAGGGAUGGCCGUGUCUCUCGUCCACUCCUGGGUGCCCAGUGCCAAGAGCCGGGCUAGGAGGUGCUCCCUGUGUAUUCGUCUAACGGAUGGUGGGUGGAUGGAGGGCAGGCCCUGCGGGCUUCACCACCCAGAGAAGUGUCUUCAGGCCUCACCAACCUGCAGCCCCCCUUCACCUUCCCACUGACCCAGCUGGGCCAGAGCCCGGCCACCAGCCACGCUGAGGAGAGAGCAGCUCGGCCUGGGGCAGGAAGGGUGGAGAGCUUGGUGCUACAGGGGAUUUGAGCCCACCGAGGGCUCUGGGCCCUACUUUCUUCCCUCUCAGUGCUGCCGAGAAAGCACAGAAGCGGGCCGUCCUUGCCCAAGCCUGGACCGGGGUCUUGAAGGCCUUCUGCCUCCUAAAUGCUCAUGACUGGCCAUCUCUGGGCCUCAGUGUCCCUACGUGAGAAAUGGGAGCUCCACCCAUUCCUUCAACAAGUGUUUACGAUUUGCCACUGUGUGCCAGGCAGGCAUUGGCACCCUGGGAGGAAGCAGGGCAGGCCCAGCCCCUGACGUCAGUCUAGGGGCUCAGGGGACAGGCGUUCAACACGUGAGUCCCCAGAAGGAGGGCCUGCAAUAGGGAUUCGUGUGCGCGUGAUUCACUGGGGGGUUGGGGGCAGGGAAGCAGCAGAAGCAGGAGAGGAGCUGAAGGGCCCAGGUGGGUCCAACUGACGGCCGGCUGGCCUGACCCUGGGCUCAGGAAUGUGAGCUGUCCCACUUGCCGGCGGGGGCUGGGCUUUUGUACCCUCAGCAGCCAGCCUCUGGCUACUGCCACCCUGCCGAGCGGGGAGGUCCAGCCUCUCAGCCAUUUCGGGCCAAGGUGGCUCCUGUUGGCCCAGAAUGGUUCUCCAGGGAGGGGGCAGCUGAGAGCCAUUAGCAGAUGACACAGCACCUGGGCGCCCGGCUCAUCCCGGUAAAGGGGUCCAGGUGGCGCACAAGCCGGGCCUGCUGCAGCAGUAGCGAUGCAGCGCGGUCCCUGAGUGAGGGACACGAAAGGGUGCCGUGGGUAAAGCAAGGGGAGGCCUUGUUGCAGGGACCAAGCCGGGGGGUCCUCCAAGGAAGUGACAUUUCCUCUGAGAUCUGAAGGGUGGGUAGAGGUUUGCCAGGUAUGUGGGGAGCAGCUUCCCAGAGAGAGAGAGAGACCAGCACUAGCAAAGGCCCUGGAGUAGGAGAGCUCAGGAAGAAGCAAAAGGAGCCGCUUGGCUGGGGCAGGGAAGGCCACCCAGGGCCCGUGGACCCCACGCAGGGCCCGGCCUCCUUCCCCAGCACCCAGCUUCCCUCAGGCCUCCCUGGCAGCCUUGCUGCACUGCCCUCCUCCUCCUGGAAAGUCAGCCUCUCCGGAGCGGGAGCUUUGGUUCUAUCUUGUUCACGACAGAGCCCCAGCGCCCAGAACAGCCGGUGCCUGGCAUCCUGUAGGGGCUCAGCUUUGGCUGCUCCCGCAAGAUGUGAAAGAACCGCGGGAAAAUAACAUUUUGAAAUGCACAAAAUGAAAUACCUCUGGUGGCAGAGGAGACCCAUCCUCGUGCAAAGCAGUUACCAAAAUACAAACGAAAAAAUUUGUGGGAUAUUAAUAACCACAUUUCCUCGCUAACCGCUGAUGCCAGCUUCCUGGUGGUGAGCACAGCCUCACUGUCGGGGGUCCCAUAAAGUCACUGACGAAGAAACCCCCCCAUUCUGCAGGCAGCCGAAUCGCUUCCAUCCAUAAUCGAAGAGGACGGCAAAUUUCCAUUUGAGGUGAGCAACACGGAGAUGGACAUGUUUCUCGUCCCAGUACAUAUGCCCCCGGGUUUUCCCCUGAGCCCUGGUGGGCGUGCGGGCCCGGGUUCAGGCCCUGCAGGCCCAGUGGUUUGGAGACAGGCUUGCUGCUGUCAGGCAGGACAGGGGAACUUUGCUGGCAGAGGCCCGAGAAUAAAUACCGUACGCUUUGUGGCCCUGAGGUCUCUGGAAGCGGCGUGGCUCUGUUGUAGCAUGAAAGCAAACCCGUUAGUUAUUAGUUACUGUGUUCAAAUAAAACCUCAUUUAUGGACACUGACAUCCGAAUUUCAUAUAUUUUUCACAUGGUGCAAACUAUGACUCUUCUUUUGAUUCUGCCCCCACCCCACAAUCAUUAAAAAAAUGCAAAAACCAUUCUUAGCUAAAGGGCCAUACAGAAACAGGCCGUGGGCUACAUCAGAACCUCCCAGAGGGCUUCUUUAAACUCACAGCACCAUGAGUUCUGAUUCAUCUGGCUGGUGGCAGUCCCCAAAUGUGCAUUUCUAACAAGUUCCCAGGUGAUGUUAAGCAGUCAUGGGGGCCUCACCUUGAGAACUGCUGUUUUUCUGCCUGGGGGAAGGAGCCCCAGAGGUUUGUGUGUUGACCCCCUGCUCUGGCUCUCUCACACGGUUAUAACCCAUUCCGGGCGUGAGUUUAGGUGGCCGGCGUUCCCUACAGAGGUGUCGAGCCGAGGUAGCCCCUCUCUGAUGUUGGAGAGGAAAAAGAUUGUUUUCCCGUCUAUCCUCCUAGGUCCUUCAGCUGGUACCCUGCAAAGUGGAUUGACAAAAGACAGAUGAACAAGGGAAAAACAAGCAGAAGUUUAUCAACAUAUCCAUAGCACAUACACAUGGGAGAAUUCAGUGAUGAGUGGCUGACAAGGAUGGUUAGAACUUAGAAUGUCAACAACGCUUUACAGAUGAGGAAACUGAGGCUCACGGAGAGGACAGAGCGGGCCGGCCCCUCAGUGCUCAAGCCAGACCUCUGCACCUCGUUUCUGAUGCACCCUUUCUCUCCCUCACCUCCCACUCUAGUGCAAUACCCUGACCUUUAAAUUUUUAAAAUUUGUUUUCAGCCCCAAUACGUUUCUCCAUCCCGCUGCCACCACCCGGUCCAGGCCACUGUCCUCACUGACUUGGAUGAUUGCAGUUAUCUCCUCUCUGGUCCCCUGGGCCCCCUCGCCCUUCUCUACCUGCACAAAACUUUAGAGUCCCCUGGGCUUUGGGUCUGGGUGACCUGGGAUCCCUGACCCUGAUGGGUCCACUGGGGUGCUGCAUGAAGGCUCCUCCAGCAGGCAGAGAGUUUGGCUGCACCAAAAGGAGCACACCAGUUGCCUGGAUCCUGGCAGCAUCCUCUCGGGGUGACCUGCCGGCCCCAAACCCUCCCUGAAACCUCAGUUUCUGACACAUGAGGAAUGAGGCUCUCUGAGGCCCUGGGUCAGGCCUGCACGCUGAAGGGCUCUUCCUUUCCCUUCCCGGAUCGAUGCUGCUUCAGUGCUGAGGCCUGGGGCUGUUCUUAUUCCCUAGUGAGGCCCAGUGCAGAAAGUGAGCUGGAGCUUGGCGACCACAGCUCUGGGCCAGGGCAGGGCCCGAGGCUGUGUACUGUACAACCCCAGGGUGCCCUUCCCAACCUACUCAGCCGUGCACAGCCAUGGCAACUGCUGAGGCCUCUUGCCUCUCCUUGCUGCCUGCGGGCUCCGUGGGGAGGGAUCCACAGCAUGUAUGGCAAGUAUGGUUUGGGAUGCCCGGGGCCCAGAUGGGAGCUGCUCCUGCAGACACCAGCAACGUUUUCUUGUGAACCUACUGGCCAGCUGGGAAGUGUUUGAAAGGGUGGUGGGGCCUCCUUCCAUCACACACACAUAACCACAUACAGACCCACACAUACACAUGCACACACACCUAAAAUGUACACAAACACAUACACGCCCUAAACACACACACAACAGUGUACGUCGUAUUACACAGUAGUGCAAAAGAGCAGCCCCUGAUGCGUGCACCAACGUGAAGGGGCCUCACAGUCACAAACGGAGACGUGCUCGAGUUCUAGGAUAGACAUGACUCUGUGGGGAUAGAAGUCAGGCUAGGGGUUGCCUGUGGGAGCAGGUGGGCCAGUAACUGAGUGUUGGGGGUAGAACGUGGCGGAUUUGGGCUCAGAGAACAGGCAGCACCUGGAUCUGGAGGGACGGCCCGACGAGGAGAGGUUUUGGGUCCACGUGUCCUGCCCAGCAAAGAACAGGUUUUUAUCAAUGUAUGCAUUGCACACACACACGGGACAGCUCAGUGAGGAAAAAAGAUAGAUAGAUAUGUACAUAGAUAGAUAGACAGACAGACAGACAGAAAAAGCAGACACAGACACAGAUAGGUAAAGUGACAGAACAAAAAACAUACAGCCUGAUAGAUGGACCAAGAGAUAGCAUCAGAAGGAUGGACACAUAAACAGAUAUAUUAACAAAAGGACAGACAGAAAGACAGAUGGACGACACAUAGAGAAAGAUGGGCAGGAAUAUGGAUCGAGAGAUACAGGUGGACUAACAGACAAGUGAGGCAGACAGACAGACAGUAAAACUGACGGACAGGUAGACAUGUACACACACAUCUGUACAUAGAGUCAUACACACACACACACGUAGAGACAGAGAGAGAUGCACAGCCAGUGGAACAGAGGGGCAGACAGCAUUUUUUUCCUCUUUUUUUUUUUUUUUUCUGCCUUUGAAGAGUUCCUCUACUGGGGCCUCUGGGGACGAGGCCCUGUGUGGGGCACGGGGCCCGAGAAAGCCACUCCCACAAGAGGCACCAUUAUAAGCUGACUGUUAACUGGGAGCCUUGGAUUCUGGGUGAAACGUUUUGAUGACUUCGAAUGAUGUGAAGGGCAAAACAGGGUAGAUCUGACAUCUCGUAUGGCAUCAGAAUGCUUUCUGCUCUUUGAAUAUUUGACUAAGGAUAUACAUCAAGAAUUGUCAUAUUUUUAUUUUAUUUGUGCUUGUUUUGUGUUUAAGAGGAAACAUCCAGAAAAAUUCUACCCUGAAGCCUUUUUCCUGGAAUAUAUCUACUGGAACCAGCAGAGGGCAGGAAAUCAUUAGUCACCAGAUGGUGUUGCUUGGUCUGUGGACAGUAAAGUCAAGGUUUUCUUGAGCACUUGGUUAAUUAACUCCAGGAGCUGCGCACACCCAUCUACCCUUAAUGAACGUGCCGAGUCGUCAGUAUUUAUAGCGCUCAGCGUUUGUGCUCUUUCUCAGCAAUGAGAUAUCAGAGGACACAGCUGUUCUUCAAAGCAGGGUGGAAAAGCAACAAAUAUCCACUCAGUAUUAACUUUAUGGAUGGUCCAAUGGGGUUAUAUUGGAUAGACUAAAUAAAAACCCAGAAUGAAUAUCCUACUGAGAUUACCAACUUUAAGCUUAUUCUUUUUCCUCUAUAUUGCAUUAUUUACUAAAUUCUGCAUUCACAGAAAUAAGUUGGCUGUUCAGAAAGAACGACUUUUGGAAGAUAAGGAAUCAAAGUGUAUCUGAGCUCCUUACAAUUGACGACCCCCCAGCAAUGUGGUCUCUUCAUCCAAUUGCUGGCAACAAUUAGACAGGUACUCAUCAGUAUUUACAGGUGACCUCUCACCCCUCCACCGCCCCCCCCCCCCAUCAUCUCUAAUGUAAUUUGCAAUUAUAAAUGCAUUCUUAAGUUUUUACGACUUUGGAAUAAGUAGGGAUAGGCUGAUCUUAUCAUACGAAUAAGAUCAAGCAUGUUUCUCUUUGAACACGGAAAUCACGAAACAGAAGUAUUCCCGUUAAAAUUAGCUUAGAGUCAAUAAAGUCUGCUGGAAUCAACUGAUGAAUGUGAAGAGUUAAGAAACAAACAGGAGGACUCAAGCUAGAACAACGAGCAGACAAUACGGUGCUUCAGGUAAAGGAAGGCACUCCGUGCCCUCUUAAUGAACCUCACCCUGUCCCAAAGCUAGCCACACUUGUAUUCUCUAUUGGGCUUUGCCAGUUUCUGGACCUCCAAGCAAUGCAAACACACAUUAGGUACUUUUUUUAUAUCUAGCUUUUCCACUCAAGGUUAUGUCUGUGAAACUCAUCUAUAUUAUUUCGUGCAGCAAUCACUCAUUUCAUCAUUGCUAUGCACUAUUGUUUGAAUAUAUCAAAAUAUAUGUAUCUGUUCGAUUACUGGCAUAAAAUUUUUAAUUGUCUAAUUUUUCUAGCUUUUGCGUACUUGCACGUCUUUUCUUGGACAUAAGCCAUAAUCUCUGUCGGGCUGUGUCAGAGGGGGUACGUACGUAUGCUCAGCUGUAUAAAUACUGCCAAGCAGUUUUCCAAAGUUGCUGUACUAAUUUACACUCCCAUCAGCGAUGCUUAUCUUGCCAGUUUUAAAAUAUUUUAUUUAGUCUGUUUAAUUUUAGUCAUUCUGAUGUGUGUGCUGUGUAUGACAUAUUCAUUUGAAUUUCCUGAACAGUAAUGUUGUAGGAUUGGCUGUCCGAGGCUUCUAAGCCAUUUGGAUAUCAUCUUUUCUGAAGGGCUUUUUCAAACUUUUGAUUAUUUUUAAUUGGGCUCUCUUUAAAAAGAAAAUUGAUUUGUAGCAGUUCUUUAGACGUUCUGGGUAUGAAUCCUCUAUGGGAUAAAUGCAUUGCAAAUGCAUCGUUCCCGUUUGUGUCUGUUGUUUUUACCUAAAGUUCUUAAUCUUAACAAAGUCCAAUUUAGCAAUCUUUUACUUUAUGGUUAUUGCAUUUUUUGGGUCCCAUUGGAGAACGCUUUUCUGACACCAAAUUCACAGAUGCUGUAACAGAAAGAAGACGCACUCCUAUGUUUUCUUCGAGAACCUCUGCAAUCCCACCUUUCGCCUGGGCAGGACCUUCUCCAAGGUCUGCGUCCCGGCUCUGCCAGGUGACGGCCCUUCCCCAAGGGCAUGGGCUCUGCGAGCCCGAGCCCUGUCCUUUGUUUCUGCGGCCUCGCGGGCGGCGUCAACUCCCCGAGUGUGGUCUUUCUUGUCUCGGGUCCCCGCUGCGUGCUUCUCCAGCUCCCUACGUGCCCUGGUCUCUGUUAGACUAACUGGUACAAUUUCUGUUUUCCCAACUGGACAAUGACGAAACGAUUACUAACCUGGAAAAUGUAAACUAAAGCUACUUGCACUUCUCGUUACCUGUCUGAUGGGUAACAACUGAGAAGGUCAGCAAUAUCCAGGGGUGGUCAAACCAUAGGUAAAUAUAUAUACUUCUACGCUAUUUUGAGUACAUAUGAGUGCUAAUUUUUGAGGAGCCAUUUGGCGGUACAUAGUAAUAUUACAAUGUGUAUGGAUUUGACCCGUAAAUUUUCCUUCAUGCCACCCCUGCCUCUAGAGAAAGACGCUCACCUGAGUAGGAAGACUCUUACUGGCAUGAUCACCUACACGUGGUUUGGAUGUAAAUCGUCAUAACAGGACAGUUGUCAAACUGGCACCUCCGAUGUGCAACAUGAGGUCGAUCUAUACGGCCCGAACAGGGCAGAUAGGGUAUGAAAGUGUUGAUCUGUACAGAGAAGCAUCUGGUAUAGUUGUAUAAAAUUAUGGCCCACAAAUGAUCUUGUCCUGCUGAGAGUUCCAGGCACUAAACUCUCAGUUCAGUAGAGGAGUGGUGCCCUAGGUCAUCUGAUGUUUGUAGGGGACCGGGGCUCUCGUGGGGGUGCUGCUGGACCAGGGGACCACCCAGCUGUGAGGCCCCUGCAGCACGGCCGCUGGCCAAGCCCGUAAAUUCAACACUGCUCAGAAUCUUUACUUGGUUGUUCUGGUCGUCCUAAUCAUGCCGUGAGCAAGUAUGUCCCCGGGUAGUCUGAGGGCUGGGGCAUGGGAUAAGGAGGCUGCUGAAGGCCCAGCAGGCCGUGCACAGCGGCCUCCGUGGAUAGCUGGCAACACGGAGAGGUUUGCCUCCCAGCGUGGUUGCCACGCUGCCGCUUCUGUGAUUAUGUCAUUUUACAGAGCGAAGGGAUUUUGCGGAUGUCACUAAAGUUCCUGAUCAAUGACCUGUGGAGGGAUAAGACCCCAGUGGGCCUAAUCUCAUCACACGAGCCCUUGCGAACUGACUGCUGUCUCUGGCUACAGGCACAAGGGCAAGUCCGGAGUGUCCGGAGCUCAGCUGAGAGGGAGCUGAGCUGUUAGGUGUAAGUGAUUAAAGCCACGAGCCACAAAUGGAAGCGCUAAAGCUUUAAUCACUUACUGUGAUGAACGACGCAAACAUCUACAGCUGUUCCAUUUUCCCCCAGGAAAUGGUGCGCCUGUUGAGGGUUAGGCAGAGCAGAGCCGCGUGGGGGUCGUCUUACUGCAGGGGGGAGCUCAGCAAAAGGCUCUGUCGGUUCUACGGACCCAAGGCUGAGGGUGGGUGUGAGGGGGUGGGCUCGGAGUGGAAACGUCCUGGGUACCAAGUCAGAGUGGGGAAAGUGCCUUCAAGGUUUCCCCUCCUCCCCGAAGGAGGCCUCAUAGAGGCGCCUGGAGAAGACCCCUGUCCGAGGCUUCAGAUAAAGGGACCUGGGAAUGGAGGUGCUGGGGCUAGAAAUGUACAUUUGUGAGGAGCACUGCCAGCCAGGGGGCCUGAGUCCUUGACUGUGGAGGGGAGCAAAAUCUGUCAUCCCAGAAUGUGUCUCUCUGGAUAAAGAUUCAUUUAGGCUGAUUAUUUUAAGAAACAGAAGACUCAGGAAGCGUUUUUUUUUUUUUUUUUUUUUUUUUUUUUACCUCCCUCUUAGCUGCCUGUAGAAUUUAGAUAAAGGGUCUGUUCCUGGAACAGAGCUGUCACCAGAGAAAUCUGCAAAGAACGUGGGUUAUGUGUGGUGGGGAAACUCAGCAGAGCCUGGAGACCAGAGUCCAGUCUGCGUCCCACUUUCUCUGCAGGGCCCAGGAAACAGCGAUUUACUAAACAUCUGCAUGUCUGUCACCGGGUGAACUGUCUGCAUUCCCUUUGAAGCCCCAAAUCCCUACCCAACAUCCUCUAUGGUCUUUAGCUGAAGAUGGUAUUUAAGGUGAAGGUUUGGCCAUUGGCGAGUUACUCAGUUUCCCUGGGUCUCUCCCAUGUAUACAUGUUAUUAAACUUUGUUUGAUUUUCUCUUGUUA